RNAcentral lists this ribosomal RNA (492 nucleotides) under uncultured bacterium. Its description in RNAcentral is "partial 16S ribosomal RNA". It matches the Rfam family "Bacterial small subunit ribosomal RNA", at positions 29 to 507 of the family's 1533-position model. The record is from RNAcentral.
AGUGAACGCUGGCGGUAGGCCUAACACAUGCAAGUCGAACGGCAGCACAGUAAGAGCUUGCUCUUACGGGUGGCGAGUGGCGGACGGGUGAGGAAUACAUCGGAAUCUACUUUUUCGUGGGGGAUAACGUAGGGGAACUUACGAUAAUACCGCAUACGACCUACGGGUGAAAGCAGGGGAUCUUCGGAGCUUGCGCGGAUGAAUGAGCCGAUGACGGGUUAGCUAGUUGGCGGGGGAAAGGCCCACCAAGUCGACGGUCCGUAGCUGGGCUGGGAGGAUGAUCAGCCACACUGGAACUGAGACACGGUCCAGACUCCUACGAGAGGCAGCAGUGGGGAAUAUGGGACAAUGGGCGCAAGCCUGAUCCAGCCAGACCGCGUGGGUUAAGAAGGCCUUCGGGUUGUAAAGCCCGUUUGUUGGGAAAGAAAAGCAGCAGGUUAAUACCCCGCUGUUCUGACGGUACCCAAAGAAUAAGCACCGGCUAACUUCGUG